Pectinophora gossypiella (pink bollworm) is the source of this 487-nucleotide long non-coding RNA. RefSeq lists it as uncharacterized. NCBI's taxonomy places the organism in Eukaryota, Metazoa, Arthropoda, Insecta, Lepidoptera, Gelechiidae. The transcript has 3 exons. The record is from RefSeq and is a predicted model, not a curated record.
GGUCGCGUCAACUGUGUUUACGAGUGUCUUGUGUUCAGAUUGUUUUAAGUGAUAAUUUAACAAUAUUUUUCCAAAUAAAUGGAAAGAAACUUUUAUUUAUAUCAAAUAAUUGAGUGUCUCGACUGUGUGACAUUAUGUCUUGUGUGGUAUGGGGCUGCAGCUCACAUUCAGGAAGAAAAGAAAAUAGCGAACAACUUCUGUCGUUUCAUCGAUAUUAAAUCCAAAAGUGUCGACUGGAUUUACAUGAAAAGUCAGUUCAAGAAGACGAGAUGAAAAAUUUAAAAGAAAAGCUGAACAAGUCCCGCCUCAAGAUCAAACGACUUAAUGAAAAAAAAAACAAUGUGUCAGGGUGUCACAAAGACAGUUUCUAAGCAAAUUGACACUGUUUAGAAAUUAAUAAAUUUGUAUUUAUUGUAAAUAUAAUGUACAUAAUUAAUAACGUGUGAAAUAAAUACUUGCUAAUGAAAAUGAACAGAUUUACGAUCUA